RNAcentral lists this long non-coding RNA (360 nucleotides) under Homo sapiens (human). RNAcentral describes it as "LHRI_LNC1520.1". Lineage: Eukaryota; Metazoa; Chordata; Mammalia; Primates; Hominidae. The record is from RNAcentral.
GGAAUGGAAUGUUGGUCAGCUGUAGGCUCCAUUUUACAAGAAACUGCCAAACUGUCUUCCAUUCUACACUUUUGUUUGCAAUGUAUGAAAGUUCUGGUUGCUUCCUAUCCUAAUCAACAUUUGGUGUGGGACUACAGGAACAUGCCACUACACCUGGUUGAUUAAAGAAAAUUUUUUGUAGAGACAGGGUUUUGCUCUAUUAUCCAGGCUGGUCUUGAAUUCCUGGCCUCAAGUGAUCCUCCCACCUCAGCCACUCAAAGCUCUAGGAUUACAGGUGUGAGUCGCCACGCCCGGCCAAAAUUUAUUAAUUGGUAGUUGGCAAUUGUUGAUGGAAAAGAAAAAGCAGGUUACAAGCAAUGU